UACGUAGGGUGCCAAGCGUUAAUCGGAAUUACUGGGCGUAAAGCGUGCGCAGGCGGUUUUGUAAGCCCAGAUGUGAAAGCCCCCGGGCGUCAACCUGGGGAACUGCGUUUGGAACGUACAAGACUAGAGUGUGUCAGAGGGGGGUGGAAUUCCGCGUGUAGCAGUGAAAUGCGUAGAGAUGCGGAGGAACACCGAUGGCGAAGGCAGCCCCCCUGGGAGUAACACUGACGCUCAUGCACG
Molecule: ribosomal RNA, 240 nt
Filed under: uncultured bacterium
Lineage: Bacteria
Description: partial 16S ribosomal RNA
Rfam family: Bacterial small subunit ribosomal RNA
Source: RNAcentral